AAAGUCAUAAAAGCUACCCAGUAGGAAUAAAGUCCGCCCACUCAUCAGCUCUGUUGCUAAGAUUCUGUGUUGAUUCCUGACUCAGAGGAUGGAGCAGCGUGCAGCCAAUUGUUCUGGAAGAACUCUGACUUUGUGGGACUCAGAGUGCCUUCCUAGGUGGUCUCUGGAGGGGUCAAAUAACUUCAAGCAGGGUGCUGCUGGUUCCCAUUUGGGGACUACCUCUGAAGCCAAGGCUGAACUCCCCCUCUCCUGACUCCUCCUCCUCUUCUCUCCCUCCCAUUCCCCCUCCUCCCCCAUACUGUCUUGCCCCUCCCCUCUUCCUUCUCCUGCCUCCCUCUCUUCUCUCCUUUCCUCCCAACUCUCUUUUCCUGUCUUCCCCUCCUCUCACCACCUUUUCUUCCUCAUUGAUCCCUCUCCUCUCUCUCCCUCCUUCCUCUCCUUUCUCCCUCCCCUCUCCUCUUUUCCCUCUGCAUCUUCAGACCUUCAAAGAUGCUAAUCUUCAGAUUAAGAGGAUACCAAAGAUGUUUUGGUAUCAGAUAAUCUGAUUUUUUUUUCAAAUAUUCAUUAUAGAUGUCCUACCAAAUUGGCUUCCAGGCUGUUACAAUGGCUCAAUGCAAAGAUUUGGCACUAAGCCUAACUAACAACCCGAGUCUCAUCCUUGGAACUGUUUAAAAAAGAUUUUGUUUUGGAGUGGAGUGGUUGCUCAUGCCACACCUUUGAUCCCAGCA
This 728-nucleotide long non-coding RNA is filed under the name Mus musculus (house mouse). Its description in RNAcentral is "long non-coding RNA chr15:36375480-36376208". The record is from RNAcentral. Lineage: Eukaryota; Metazoa; Chordata; Mammalia; Rodentia; Muridae.